Molecule: unclassified non-coding RNA, 420 nt
Filed under: Hevea brasiliensis (rubber tree)
Lineage: Eukaryota; Viridiplantae; Streptophyta; Magnoliopsida; Malpighiales; Euphorbiaceae
Source: RNAcentral
AGCAAUCAGUGUGCCGUCUUUGUGGAAUUUGUGAAAGUGGACUAACUUUGAGGCUUAUUUGCAGAAUUGGUGUUUUGGGUGGGAUUGAGUGGAAUCAGGUAUUUGUUUGGUUUUUAGAAGGAAAAAUGUGAAAUUUAUUUUGCCGUUCUACUUGUGAGGACAUUUAGUUCAAAUUUGAUAAAAAUUAGUUUCCCACGUUUCUUUGGUUUACCUGGAAAUUAAAACCAUGGAACAGAUAAUUAUUUAACUUUUGCUAAUAAGAGAGUUCAGUUCUUCCUAUAAAAAAACUAGGUUUGCAUGUUUCUUUGUUUUCUUGGAAGAUUAAAGCCAUAAACCGGACAACUAUUUUGCUUUUCUACAAGCGGAGCCUUAACCUAAGGAGAUUUAAAUAUUUUUCACUUCUAGGAGAUGGAAGGGCAU